RNAcentral lists this ribosomal RNA (777 nucleotides) under uncultured Neocallimastigales. Its description in RNAcentral is "partial large subunit ribosomal RNA". It matches the Rfam family "Eukaryotic large subunit ribosomal RNA", at positions 18 to 640 of the family's 3401-position model. Lineage: Eukaryota; Fungi; Neocallimastigomycota; Neocallimastigomycetes; Neocallimastigales. The record is from RNAcentral.
UCAGACGAUGCGUCAUGCAUAUCAAUAAGCGGAGGAAAAGAAACUAACAAGGAUUCCCUAGUAACGGCGAGUGAAGCGGGAAGAGCUCAAAUUUGAAAUCUUCAAGGUUUUACCUUGACGAAUUGUAGUUUAAAGAAGUGUUUUCUGUUAGAGAGUUGGUAAAAGUUCUUUGGAAUAGGACAUCAUAGAGGGUGAGAAUCCCGUAUUUGACCAUUCUUUUCUAGCUGUGUGAUACACUUUCAAAGAGUCGGAUUGUUUGGGAAUGCAGUCCAAAAUGGGUGGUAAAUUUCAUCUAAAGCUAAAUAUUGGCGAGAGACCGAUAGCGAACAAGUACCGUGAGGGAAGAUGAAAAGAACUUUGAAAAGAGAGUUAAACAGUACGUGAAAUUGUCAAAAGGGAAGCGUUUGACACCAGUGUUGUUUUCUCGAAAAUCAAUUAGAAAGAGUGGAUUCAUGCUAGUUGUAUUGACCUUAUCAGCUUGCUCAAUCUUGUUUCUGGUUCUUUUUUAAUGCACUUUUCGUUUAACAAGUCAACAUCAGUUUCCUUUGCUGUAAAAGGGUCAUAGGAAGGUGGCUUCAUCUUCGGAUGAAGUGUUUAUAGCCUUUGAUCUCUGCAAUCGGAGAGAUUGAGGUCUGCAGCGUAGAUCCUUCGGGGUUAGAUACAUUCGUGCUAAGUUAUAGCCUUUUAUAGACAACUUGUUGACUAUGAUCGGUCUUGUAAUUUACUCGCGAGUGCUAUUUUACCUACGCUUAGGAUGUUGAUAUGCAUGACUGAUAU